This 420-nucleotide unclassified non-coding RNA is filed under the name Hevea brasiliensis (rubber tree). The record is from RNAcentral. Lineage: Eukaryota; Viridiplantae; Streptophyta; Magnoliopsida; Malpighiales; Euphorbiaceae.
UCAGCUACAGGAUCAGUUUCUGCAGUUGUUUUUACCAAAAGAUUAUAUCAAGCAUACUAAAGAGCACUGUGGGUGCUGUUCUAUUGCAAACAAUCUUCUUACUGAAAAUUUAAGUUAGUGCUAAGCCAUGUUUCCAUCUUUCUAAAUGGAUUUGCACUAGGAAGGACCAAAACUGUGAGCCAAGUCUAUUCUAAAGCAUCAGCCAGUGCUAACUCAGAAGAAAGAGAAAAAAAAAGGAGGAAAUUCCAUAAUUUCAAAAACUACAUUGGAUAAGCAGGAUCUUAUUGCAUUGAGCAUGUCAGACAGGAUAGUAGUUUCAAAAACAAACUUCAAUAAGACAUGUAAAGAACAAAAUAAUCUGGCAACCAUUUUAGGUGUUGAAAUCAAGCAAUCUUGAUUUAACAAUAGUGCUGCAUCAAG